Molecule: ribosomal RNA, 247 nt
Filed under: uncultured bacterium
Lineage: Bacteria
Description: partial 16S ribosomal RNA
Rfam family: Bacterial small subunit ribosomal RNA
Source: RNAcentral
GGACGGGUGAGUAACACGUGGAUAACCUGCCUCAUGCUCUGGGAUAACAGGCCGAAAGGCUUGCUAAUACCGGGUAAGCUCACGCUGCCGCAUGGCAGUGGGAGAAAAGGCGCUUUACGGCGCUGGGAUGAGAGGGGUCCGCGGUCGAUUAGCUAGUUGGCGUGGUAACGGCACACCAAGGCAGCGAUCGAUAGCCGGCCUGAGAGGGCGAUCGGCCACACUGGGACUGAGACACGGCCCAGACUCC